RNAcentral lists this ribosomal RNA (253 nucleotides) under uncultured bacterium. RNAcentral describes it as "partial 16S ribosomal RNA". It matches the Rfam family "Bacterial small subunit ribosomal RNA", at positions 524 to 776 of the family's 1533-position model. The record is from RNAcentral.
CACGAACCGUCCAAACGUUAUUCGGAAUUAUUGGGCUUAAAGAGUGCGUAGGCGGCGCUUUAAGUCGGGUGUGAAAGCCUUCGGCUCAACCGAAGAAUUGCGCCCGAUACUGGAGUGCUAGAGGGAGACAGGGGUGAGCGGAACUGAUGGUGGAGCGGUGAAAUGCGUUGAUAUCAUCAGGAACACCGGUGGCGAAAGCGGCUCACUGGGUCUCUUCUGACGCUGAGGCACGAAAGCCAGGGUAGCGAACGGG